This 96-nucleotide microRNA precursor is filed under the name Podarcis lilfordi (Lilford's wall lizard). Lineage: Eukaryota; Metazoa; Chordata; Lepidosauria; Squamata; Lacertidae. The record is from RNAcentral.
UCCCCAGCUGUUGCUGGACUACAACUCCCAUCAUCCCUGGUCACUGGUCCUGCUAGCUAGGGAUGAUGGGAGUUGUAGUCCAACAACAGCCGGGGC